UACGUAGGGGGCAAGCGUUGUCCGGAAUCAUUGGGCGUAAAGAGCGUGUAGGCGGCUCGAUAAGUCUGCUGUGAAAGUCCAGGGCUCAACCCUGGAAGGCCGGUGGAAACUGUCGGGCUAGAGUCCGGAAGAGGCGAGUGGAAUUCCCGGUGUAGCGGUGAAAUGCGCAGAUAUCGGGAGGAACACCAAUGGCGAAGGCAGCUCGCUGGGACGGUACUGACGCUGAGGCGCGAAAGCUAGGGGAGCGAACAGG
This 253-nucleotide ribosomal RNA is filed under the name uncultured bacterium. Its description in RNAcentral is "partial 16S ribosomal RNA". It matches the Rfam family "Bacterial small subunit ribosomal RNA", at positions 524 to 776 of the family's 1533-position model. The record is from RNAcentral.